Molecule: ribosomal RNA, 484 nt
Filed under: uncultured bacterium
Lineage: Bacteria
Description: bacterial SSU rRNA
Rfam family: Bacterial small subunit ribosomal RNA
Source: RNAcentral
AUUGAACGCUGGCGGCAUGCUUUACACAUGCAAGUCGAACGGUAACAGGGAGCUUGCUCCGCUGACGAGUGGCGAACGGGUGAGUAAUGCAUCGGAACGUACCCAGUCGUGGGGGAUAACGUAGCGAAAGUUACGCUAAUACCGCAUACGUCCUGAGGGAGAAAGCGGGGGACCGAAAGGCCUCGCGCGAUUGGAGCGGCCGAUGUCGGAUUAGCUAGUUGGUAGGGUAAAGGCCUACCAAGGCGACGAUCCGUAGCGGGUCUGAGAGGAUGAUCCGCCACACUGGGACUGAGACACGGCCCAGACUCCUACGGGAGGCAGCAGUGGGGAAUUUUGGACAAUGGGCGCAAGCCUGAUCCAGCCAUGCCGCGUGAGUGAAGAAGGCCUUCGGGUUGUAAAGCUCUUUCAGGUGGAAAGAAAACGCAUGGGUCAAUACCCUGUGUGGAUGACGGUACCAUCAGAAGAAGCACCGGCUAACUACGUG